UGCCCUCGAACUCAAAAUCUGCCUGUCUCUGCCUCCCAAGUGCUGGGAUCAAAGGCGUGGGCCACCUGUAUUUUCUUAUGUAAUGUUUGUUUCUGGUGGGUUAAAAGACCCUCCUGGACAGCGUUGGUAGACAUGGACCUUGGUAAUCUGUUCCGUAGACAUAGCGGGGAGACCAUGUUAGAGCAUUCAAGACCUAAAGAUUACAGGAUUUUGUGAAGGACAAAAUGGUGGCGGCAGUACAAGGCCACCCCCUAUGAUGAGGACCUUUUCACAGACCUGUACUGAUAUCUCUGUGAGGAUAAAUAACUCUGAGGAGGAUGGCCCUACCCCUACAGCCUUCUCACCCUGUAGAGAUCUCUUGGUGUAGAAAUAACACAUGCUAACUUAUCUCUACAGGUUUGAGGUGCUACUUACAAACAAAAGGAUGGGAAUAUGCUCUUUUCUCAGAAUAUGGUUCAUCUCAAGGCCAUUUACACUUUGGAGCCAGGCCUGUUCAGUUUUACAAAUAGCACAGGUUACUGUGACAACAUGAAGAGUUGAAGGUACCUCCCAGGAUGAUUGCAGAUUUUCCCGGUGGUGAGUCUCCGGCAUUCAAAGGUUCUGUUAGUGCCAUACUUGUUGGUUUACAGAUGGUGUGUCUGGCUGAGACCAAAGGAGCCAUGCCAGGAAAGUUAAAGCGUAUCUUCAUUUUUAAGUCCAGGCUAAAGUAAGGUCUGAGGAAAAGAAUGAGCUGCAUGAGAAAGAUAGGAACAGAUCAUCAAAUCUGAUUGUCCGGGCCAGUGUCAAGGGAACAACAAACUUAACUCAUGGACUACAGCCUGCUUUUAUUCCUUGAGUAGUAUCAGUUGCACUAGAAAUGGAAUGGCUAACCUUUUCCUAGCAUUAUUGUUGGAGAAGGUUAAUAUGAUUUGUUGCAUCAUAACAGGCCACUUUAAAAUGAAGUGAAAUUGACAAUUGUGAAUUUAACCUUCCUUGAUUACUACAUUGUUAACUCUAGGAACUAGUAUCUGGUCCUUACUACAUUGUUAACUUGUAGACCUGUGUUUAUGUCUAGCAAUAAAUGCUCUUUAUGCUAA
Molecule: long non-coding RNA, 1076 nt
Organism: Mus pahari (shrew mouse)
Lineage: Eukaryota; Metazoa; Chordata; Mammalia; Rodentia; Muridae
Exons: 9
Source: RefSeq, a predicted model, not a curated record